This 1731-nucleotide long non-coding RNA is filed under the name Dromaius novaehollandiae (emu). RNAcentral's name for it is "lncRNA (ENSDNVG00000008862.1)". Lineage: Eukaryota; Metazoa; Chordata; Aves; Casuariiformes; Dromaiidae. The record is from RNAcentral.
GUAUUCCCACUGGAAGAUCUGAAACAGCCAACCGCACAGGACUAAGACGUCUGUUGGAUGCUAGCGUGCUCCUUUCUGCAGCGUGCCCAGCGACCUUCCACAACUGCCCAAGCARGUAAAGUCCAGGCUGUACAUGCCCGGCAGAUUCAGCAGCUGAGCAGCUGUCUUCUAGCRGGACAGUCCUGGGAUAUUCAUGCCAUGCCAGCAGGAACAUUUAUUCCUCUUAUCGGAACUGAGCCCAAUAACUUAUUGCUGGGCUGAGUUCAGAUUCGCUGCAGACUCUUCACAGAUUCUGAAAUUAGCUCCUGAGGUUUGAGCCUCCAGAAGACUUCCAAGAGUGGGAAACUAAUGCUACAAAGGAUCGUGGCUCACUGAGCUGAGGUACUAAACCGGGUCUCUGGAGAUCAAUGCUCAGUUCUCAGCUCUCCCACAGACUCCUCUCCGUGAUCAAAGGCCAAACCUCCUCAGGAAAAAUACUUUUUUCUACCCRUUGUCUUUUUUCAUUUCUUUAGCGACAAGCCUUUAGGAAUAGAUACUACUUUUUAUAACGUGGUUUUACAGCAUCAAAUGUGUAAAGAUUUAUAGGUACUAAUGGAAAGUAAAUAAUAACAUAUCCAGCCAUCAUGAAUAGGUSUCUGUGGUAGUGGACUCAGUGCCACAUGGGACAUCACUGAUCAUCCUGCAUGACACUGCUUAUGUUGACAUAGUAUCAUACUUCUGGUACAUUUUUUGGAACUGAAUUUCUUAAAUUACAUCUUUUCAGUGGAUCUCUUUAUCCAUGAAAAAAGUGGCGUGCUCCAGUGCUUUUUACAGUAAUAACGGCCUGGACUCUUGUGACUGCAUACACCUCCUCAAGAUGAAAUGCUUUUCAGAACUCAGCAAUGAAACAACUUUGAUUCAGAAACACACAAAAGASACCCACACACCUUCAACUGGCAUCGUGUCCCAGCUUCUGAAACACAGCCACCACUAUGAAACGGGAACUAGCCCCUAACUACUCAACUGUCACAGCUCUUCAGGCAAACGUAAAACAUUGGAAACCCCAGGAUUUCAUGAGAGGUGGAAUGAGAAGCAUUAUUUAAGGAUUCAUUGUGUUCUCCUUUAAAGGUUAGUUCAAAUGCUACUUCUUUAUCUGAAGGAGAAACUAUUCUGCACACUCCUUUAGAAAGUCUGAAAGGAGAAAGGCAGAAGCCUACGCUUACUUUUGUUUUUAGUUAAAGUUCAGUCUGUUCUAUUUUAAUCCAUGCAACUAUGCACUUGGCAAAGGCUUCCUCCUAAACCAUCAGUCAGAACUCUAGGCGAAGGCUUUACAGUCCUGUGAAGAGCCAAAAUUAUCCUUGCCUAGGCACCAGCACAGGGACAGAAGAGAGGCAGCGUGUGACUCCCCUGUUUAAGGUCACUGGAGACUCAGGUGACUUCUGUCACAAAACACAUUAACUGUUCAAACAGCUCCCUGCAGGAAACAGUCCAGGUGGGCUUUUUCCCAGAGCGCAGAAAAGCCAGGAUGCAACUUUGCUUCAAACUCACCCCUGUGUAAGUGCUGCCUUGAAACACAGCCUUGGAGCCCUGGCUCACACCAAGAACACACAAGGACAUUUUUGGGGGCAGGACGAUGCCACUGCCCUCUAUCCCCCAUCUACAACRGGAUCUGAAGAGCUUUCAGCAGGAGUUACAACAGGUUUGGAAUAAGUCCUGAUUUGAAUAAAAAAAUUUUCAAGGUGGAAAAUGUCA